UACGAAGGGGGCUAGCGUUGCUCGGAAUCACUGGGCGUAAAGGGUGCGUAGGCGGGUCUUUAAGUCAGGGGUGAAAUCCUGGAGCUCAACUCCAGAACUGCCUUUGAUACUGAAGAUCUUGAGUUCGGGAGAGGUGAGUGGAACUGCGGGUGUAGAGGUGAAAUUCGUAGAUAUUCGGAGGAACACCAGUGGCGAAGGCGGCUCACUGGUCCAUUACUGACGCUGAGGUGCGAAAGCGUGGGGAGCAAACAGG
Molecule: ribosomal RNA, 253 nt
Filed under: uncultured bacterium
Lineage: Bacteria
Description: partial 16S ribosomal RNA
Rfam family: Bacterial small subunit ribosomal RNA
Source: RNAcentral